Molecule: long non-coding RNA, 1148 nt
Organism: Astatotilapia calliptera (eastern happy)
Lineage: Eukaryota; Metazoa; Chordata; Actinopteri; Cichliformes; Cichlidae
Source: Ensembl
AAAAAAUGAAGGACCAACGCCGAAAAGGGACAAAUAUGAGUGAAAUUAGGAAAAUUAGAAGAUGUCAGAGUGUUUUCUUAACUCUGUAAAGCCCGAACCAUCAAAUAAUUUUCUUUUAAAAUUUUUAAUAUUUUUUUUAACCUUACCUUACCAAAAAAAUAAUAAAAAUAAUAAUAAAAUACAUUUGCAUAUUUAACUUUAAAUUUGUAUCUUUUUGCUUAAUCUGGCAUUUCUGUGCAAGUUGUUGCUUAAAAAAUGUAUUGUGCAAUUUAUUCUGGUUUUUCAGGAAAGAAAAUCACACUGAGGAUGUGGAGUCAAACACUCACAUAGUCUCAUGUGUCAAGUAUGAUACAGUUAAACUAGUCUUCUUGCAUGGAGCACAUUUAGACCAAACACCGAAUUAUCUUGACCAUGUCUAUUAUUAACCUACACUUAUAUAUAGCCUAAAUAGGAACGGAGCUAGUCCCGUCAGUUUUGUGGUGGCUAAUUGUUCACAGACAGCGUGAUGAAGAACUAACAAGCUUUUCUUAAGUUGACCAAGGUCUUAAAGGUCAACUUAAUGAUUCAUUGCUAGAAAACUGAAAUCCUUGUAAUUUAGAAACUAUGCUUCUUACAAGUGGUGUGUAUUGUCAGCAUGUAAAAAAUUAUCAUGUUACAUUUGACCUCUGAUUUCACUUUUAUGUUGUACAUCUGCCUAAAAUGUGUUACAUUAUUAAAUAAUUAAUCCAUUUAAAAAAAAAAAAAAAAGAAUAAUUCUACUCAAAAAUUAUAUUUAAAAGUAUAAAAUGGAUUUCAAACAGGGCAAAUAAGAAAAGCCUGUACAUUGCAUAUGUUUCCAUUGCACUACAAACUUCCUAAAGUGCAUUUAAAAGGUGGAAAAAACAGAAUGACUUUACAGAAAAUACAAUACUAUUCCCUCCCUAUUUGCGCACUUCUUGUGUUAAAUAUUAGUGAGGGUUGUCAGAGCAUAGGUCGGGGUCGGCACUCGGGCUAGGUAUCAGUGUUGGUCAAAUUACUUGAAAAAAGUAAUUAGUAACUAAUUAAUGAUUACUUCCUGAAAAAAGUAAUCCCAUUACUUUACUGAUUACUUAUUUUCAAAAGUAAUUCGUUACUUAGUUACUUUUCAAAACAGGAUUUACACCCUAAAU